CAUCCUUGAUCGGGAGGUCCGGGUAAUCUUUUGAAACUUCAUCGUGCUGGGGAUAGUCCCUUGCAAUUUUUGGACUUAAACGAGGAAUUCCUAGUAAGCGUGAGUCAUCAACUCGCGUUGAUUACGUCCCUGCCCUUUGUACACACCGCCCGUCGCUACUACCGAUUGAAUGGCUUAGUGAAUCCUUCGGAUUGGCUAUUUUUUUCUGGCAACAGAAUUAAACUGCUAAAAAGUUGGGCAAACUUGGUCAUUUAGAGGAAGUAAAAGUCGUAACAAGGUUUCCGUAGGUGAACCUGCGGAAGGAUCAUUAAAAAAUAUCGCUCGAUUGAGAGUGAUUUAAUAAUCAUCCUUCCCUUUGUGAAUUUUGUUGUUUGUAAUAAUUUUUUUUGAUUUUAAAAAAAAAUUAUUUAUGGUUUUGUCUAUCCCUAAAAUUGGUUUGUUGUGAAAUGAAUCAAAUUUAGGGAAUAGGCUUUCAUAAAUAAGUUUUUUUUAAAGUCUUAAAGACCUUUUUUAAAAUUAAACUUUUGUUGUAUUCAUUUGUCUAAAUUUUUUUUUAAAUAAUUUAAAAACAACUUUUGACAAUGGAUCUCUUGGUUCUCGCAACGAUGAAGAACGCAGCAAAAUGCGAUAAGUAAUGUGAAUUGCAGAAUACGUGAAUCAUCAAAUCUUCGAACGCAUAUUGCAC
This 685-nucleotide ribosomal RNA is filed under the name Neocallimastix frontalis. Its description in RNAcentral is "bacterial SSU rRNA". The stretch from base 1 to 310 matches the Rfam family "Eukaryotic small subunit ribosomal RNA", at positions 1524 to 1831 of the family's 1831-position model. The record is from RNAcentral. Lineage: Eukaryota; Fungi; Neocallimastigomycota; Neocallimastigomycetes; Neocallimastigales; Neocallimastigaceae.